Molecule: small RNA, 127 nt
Filed under: Marmota monax (woodchuck)
Lineage: Eukaryota; Metazoa; Chordata; Mammalia; Rodentia; Sciuridae
Source: RNAcentral
CCUGGGAGCGGUGGCGCACACCUGUAAUCCCAACUACUCAGGAGGCUGAGGCAGGAGGAUAGCAAGUUUGAGGCCAGCCUCAGCAACUUUACAAGGCCCUAAGCAACUUAGUGAGACCCUGUCUUAA